Phascolarctos cinereus (koala) is the source of this 682-nucleotide non-coding RNA. NCBI's taxonomy places the organism in Eukaryota, Metazoa, Chordata, Mammalia, Diprotodontia, Phascolarctidae. The record is from RefSeq and is a predicted model, not a curated record.
CGCGCGCCGACCCGGAGAGCAACCUGUUCUUCGUCCGGAGGGCCGAGGAGCUUGCCUUUUCUGGGCUCCUUGACCUGCCCUCUGCAAGCUGUGCGCCCCUUCCAAGGGGACCCGAGAAAAAGAGCACCCAAGCCGACCGUCGAAUGCCAGGGAUGCUCCUGGGAGCCCCUACACUUCCCCUCCCCCCCCAGGAGGCGAAAAGGGUUCGGUUUUAGCAGUUGCAGAAAGCUUAAAAUUCAUUCAAUAGGAGCUUGGUUCUUCAGUGCAAUAUGAAUAUGCCUGCGGUUGUUCAAGUGGUGAUGGAAGUGAACAUCUAUCCUCAGAGUCUUUGGUGAUGAUGCUGACUGGGGAUCAUGGAGGAAAUGAAGGUGUUUACUUAUACCUUUCUUGAUGGUGGAAACUCUGAUACUAAUGUUAAUAUUUUCUCAUUUCUGUCCUCAUGGAAUCAGAGGCCAAACUUUUUCUAUCAUGGUCCCUGUCUAGCUCCCUUCCCCAAAUGGUUUGACAAAGUCUGGAUUUACUGACCUUUAGAGCAUUCAGCAAGAGCACACCUUUUUAGUCAGACUUAACCAGAUUUGUGUUGAUGCCAUUUUUAAGGGGUUAAAUGUCCAAAAUGAAACUGAAGUGAUUUAAAAUGUAAAAUAAUGUGCUUUAAAGAAUGUUAGUGUGACCUGGGGCAGAA